GAUGAACGCUGGCGGCGUGCCUAAUACAUGCAAGUCGGACGGAGCGCUUCGGCGCUCAGUGGCGAACGGGUGAGUAGCACAUGGGCAACCUGCCCUUCAGAGGGGGACAACAGCUGGAAACGGCUGCUAAGACCGCAUAAGACCACGAGGUCGCAUGGCCACGGGGUAAAAGAUUUAUCGGUGUAGGGUGAGCUCGCGUCCCAUUAGCUAGUUGGUGAGGUAACGGCCCACCAAGGCGACGAUGGGUAGCCGACCUGAGAGGGUGAUCGGCCACAUUGGAACUGAGACACGGUCCAG
RNAcentral lists this ribosomal RNA (297 nucleotides) under uncultured bacterium. RNAcentral's name for it is "partial 16S ribosomal RNA". It matches the Rfam family "Bacterial small subunit ribosomal RNA", at positions 28 to 334 of the family's 1533-position model. The record is from RNAcentral.